Molecule: unclassified non-coding RNA, 1586 nt
Filed under: Eurytemora carolleeae
Lineage: Eukaryota; Metazoa; Arthropoda; Copepoda; Calanoida; Temoridae
Description: zinc finger protein ZFAT
Source: RNAcentral
UGGGGGAAGCAAUAAACACAAAUCUACAAAACGCAUUAUUUCCAAGUUUUUAGCAUUUAAAGAUGUAUUCCUUAAUUAUGAAAAAAAAUUGAAAAAGUAUAAUCAUAAUGCACAUACGUCAAUAUCCAGAUAUUAAGAUGUGAAAUAGUAUUUUAGAAAGCAUGGCAGAAAAUAUUAAAAAUGAAUUUAUUGUGGAAGUGGAACAGAUCGAAGAAAAAGUGUUUAUCAAAGAAGAAAUAAAGCUGGAGGUUAAUGCUGAAAUCAAAGAUGAAAUAGUUGAAAAUACGAGUCAAGAAAUGAAGUUUGAAAUUCUACCAUGUUGUACUGUAGAAGAUACGUGUACAGUUUAUGUACAGGUCGAAGAUAUGAAAAUGGAAAGAACAGAAAUGAAAAAUGAUAUUGAUAAUGACGAAGAAGAUCCUCUCUUCCCCGAACCAAAGAGACCGAAGAAGCAAGCAGGACGUAGAUAUGCUUGUCUGGAGUGUAAUCAUGUGACCACUGAUGCAACUAAUCUUAAAAGACAUAUUGAAUCCAAACAUGAAGGCGUGGGAUAUCUUUGUAAUCAGUGUGAUUUUGUUACCACUGCAAGUAGGAAUCUUAGAAGACACAUUGAAUCUAAGCAUGAAGGCGUGGAAUAUCCCUGUAAUCAAUGUGAUUAUGUGACCACUGCAAGUAGGAAUCUGAAACGUCAUAUUGAAUGUAAUCAUGAAGGACUGAGACAUACCUGUGAUCAGUGUGAUUUCUCUGCAACUAGAAAGGGGGAUCUAAAAGUUCAUGUUGAACGUAUUCAUGAAGGAGUAAGAUAUCCCUGUGAUCAAUGUGAAUAUGUUGCCACUACAAGAAGGAAUCUGAAAACCCAUAUUGAAUGUAAGCAUGAACAAGCAAGAUUUCCGUGUGGUCAGUGUGAAUUCUCUGCAACUAGAAAAGGGAAUCUGAAAUCUCAUGUUGAACGUAAGCAUGAAGAAGUUCGACAGCCUUGUGGUAUCUGUGAAUAUUUGCAACUACAGGAAGUAAUCUGAAAGCUCAUAUCCGAUUUGAGCAUAAAGGAGUAAGAUAUCCCUGCAAUCAGUGUGAUUUUGCUGCGCCUAACGUGAGUACUCUGAAGAUUCAUAUUGAAAUCAAGCAUAAAAGAGUGAGAUAUCCCUGUGAAUUAUGCCAUGUUGCUGUCGCUACAGCUAGCAGUUUAAAGCAACACAUAGCAAAGCAGCAUUCUGGUUUAAGAUAUCCCUGUGAUCAGUGUAAAUAUUCUUCAAAUACUGAAUUUGAACUGAAAUGGCAUAUUAAAGAUAAACACCAGUAAACAAACUGUCAACCAUCAUUCCGCAGGUAUAAUGGCCGGGUUAUCUGUAUAAAGUAUUUAUGAAUAUUAUAUAAUGUAUAAAUUAUCUAAAUUGAUAAAAUGAGAAAACAUAAUUAACGGAUAUAUAGAUUUAGCAAACCUCAUGUUGUUUUUUAAAUUUUAUAUCCCUUCAUUGGGAAUAAGAAAUAAAACAAUUAUUGUCUAUUGGAAAAUGUUGUGUCUAGAAAAUCAUCAGUGCCUUGUUAUAUGUUAUUUUUAUUUUUAAAUAUUAUUUCCUCCCAAAUUU